GUGUCAGCAGCCGCGGUAAUACGGAGGGUGCGAGCGUUGUCCGGAAUCACUGGGCGUAAAGGGCGCGUAGGCGGCGCGGUAAGCGUGCGGUGAAAGCCCGGGGCUCAACCCCGGGUCGGCCGUGCGAACUGCCGCGCUCGAGCACUGUAGAGGCAGGUGGAAUUCCGGGUGUAGCGGUGGAAUGCGUAGAGAUCCGGAAGAACACCGGUGGCGAAGGCGGCCUGCUGGGCAGUAGCUGACGCUGAGGCGCGACAGCGUGGGGAGCAAACAGGAUUAGAAACCCCCGUAGUCC
RNAcentral lists this ribosomal RNA (292 nucleotides) under uncultured bacterium. RNAcentral's name for it is "partial 16S ribosomal RNA". It matches the Rfam family "Bacterial small subunit ribosomal RNA", at positions 505 to 796 of the family's 1533-position model. The record is from RNAcentral.